CAAAGAGCUCUCGGAUUUCAUCAAAACACCUUAACUCUUAGGGAUUUGGAACGACACAGCGAAGAGAGGGGCGGAGUCAGCAGAGCUCAUUGGCCAUUAAAGCAACAUGGACUGGAAUGGCUUUAUCGAAACAGAGAUGAUUUUAACAUGCCGUUUUUUCUUGUCUGCUUAACUCAGCUCCACACGGUUCAGCCUCACCGCCCCUGAAUGCACAGAUACUUUGGCAUGGCUGGGCAGAAAGCCCUAAAAGGACCAACAGCAAAGAGGGACACAGAAAAAGCCAUUAUUGUCUCGUUUUCCAAAGCUCAGCUCGUAGAAAACAAGGACGGCAGCCACUGGACACCUGGGAGCAGUAAUGAAAACUAUGAAAAGCAGCCAAGAGAUGCAGGUCAGGAGGCUGGUGGCUCUAAUGAGUAUCAGUGAUUACAUUAUACAAGACUGCUCAGAUGAGGGUGGUCCAGCUAUGGUGGCCGUUCCGACUUAAAGAGGCUAUGCCUUAAAGAGACAGUUCGUUCAACAAAGACAGUUUGCUGAAAAUGUGCUCACCAUAAGGCCAUUCAAGAUGUAGACGAGUUUGUUCUUCAUAUAGCAUAUUUGAGCAGAACUUGCUCAACAGUGGAUCCUCUGCAAGUGAAUGGGUGCCGUCAGCUGUGUUUCAUGUGUUUCUCAGCCGUAAAUGAUGUGCAUCUAUAUAUAUUUCUCUCCUCAUUCAAAUGUAAUAUAACGGAACCUUAUGAAACAUAGAGCACUCAUAUUUUAGCUUUUUGCUUCAGUUGAUGGACUGGAGUGGCGUGGAGUACUAGUGGAUUACUGUUAUGCUUUCAUCAGCUGUUUGAACUCUCAUUCUGACGGCACCCAUUCACUGCACAAUGCAACUCAAUUCCUCCAAAUCUGUUCUCAUGUUCUACAUCAUCCAUUUUUCGCAAAUUUUCAUUUGAACUAUUGUUUUAAAGGGAUCAUUUUCUGAUGGUCUUCUGCAGAACUCAAAAUGUAUAUUUAAUGAUUUAAUGUUUUUGUUAUGCAAUUAGUCAAUGAGACAAUGGAGUGAAAAAACCCCACUGAUUUCACUUGGAUAUUUUACAAUAUCUUUGUCCAACAUUCUUUCUAAUAACCUCAGUGAUAAGCUUCCACUGGCAGCAGUGGCUGCAUGCACGUACUUCACGGAGCACGAACAACAUGCACGUCUCCUUUAUAUUUAGUAAGGAAGUAUUUCUGUUUCCUGGGAAUGAGGUGCCUUUUUCCACUGUUCCAGACCCAGUUUCAUUUACUCAAACCUAAACUUGUGUAUAUUUUAAGAGGCAGUGUAAACCUGUUCUCUGAUUGCUCCAAAGGGUGACCUCACACAAACUGUUCUUUCCCAUGGUCCAGGCAGCCCUCUGGUUCUGCUCAGAUUCCUGAUGGUGCCCUUCCAGUCCUCAUUUCUAUGUUAGUUCAACACCAGAUUUUCCUGGGACGUUUCUUUGAGCUGUUUUUCUAGCUGUAGUUCGUCUCUGAAGAGAUCUGACAGUGGCAUACCGUAUAAUAUGGUCAUGUGCCGAGACUAAAGUGGUUAGGAUUCUCAUUUGAAAUCCUUUGAGGUAUUAUCAAGAAAUAUAUCAAGAAACUGGUGUUAAUGUGCAGGUUAUGCCCUUUCUUUGAAAAUAGGUGUUUGUACUGAUCGCAUUAAAAUGACCCGGUGUUCAUUAAAUUUCCAUUUGUUUUGAAAU
Puntigrus tetrazona (Sumatra barb) is the source of this 1706-nucleotide long non-coding RNA. RefSeq lists it as uncharacterized. The transcript is spliced from 4 exons. NCBI's taxonomy places the organism in Eukaryota, Metazoa, Chordata, Actinopteri, Cypriniformes, Cyprinidae. The record is from RefSeq and is a predicted model, not a curated record.